UGGGGAAUAUUGGACAAUGGGCGCAAGCCUGAUCCAGCAAUGCCGCGUGUGUGAAGAAGGUUUUCGGAUUGUAAAGCACUUUCGGCGGGGACGAUGAUGACGGUACCCGCAGAAGAAGCCCCGGCUAACUUCGUGCCAGCAGCCGCGGUAAUACGAAGGGGGCUAGCGUUGCUCGGAAUGACUGGGCGUAAAGGGCGCGUAGGCGGAUGCGACAGUCAGAUGUGAAAUUCCUGGGCUUAACCUGGGGGCUGCAUUUGAGACGUUGUGUCUAGAGUGAGGAAGAGGGUCGUGGAAUUCCCAGUGUAGAGGUGAAAUUCGUAGAUAUUGGGAAGAACACCGGUGGCGAAGGCGGCGACCUGGUCCUUGACUGACGCUGAGGCGCGAAAGCGUGGGGAGCAAACAGGAUUAGAUACCCUGGUAGUCCACGCUGUAAACGAUGUGCGCUGGAUGUUGGGUGGCCUAGCCAUUCAGUGUCGUAGCUAACGCGCUAAGCGCACCGCC
This 501-nucleotide ribosomal RNA is filed under the name uncultured bacterium. Its description in RNAcentral is "bacterial SSU rRNA". It matches the Rfam family "Bacterial small subunit ribosomal RNA", at positions 355 to 873 of the family's 1533-position model. The record is from RNAcentral.